CAGACGCAGUCCUCGACAUCUGGAUAGAGGUGACCUUCGCCACCUCCCUGUACUACAAUCGGGUACUGACCAUCUGGAUCAGUUGGAGGAAGCUGAGGCUAGUGUGGACAACGGAUUUCGAGAGAACAGAGCUUUCGAAAAUGAAGCUGGGGACAAUGCACAAUGUGCUGACAACACGCAGCUGUCCAUUUCGGUGUCCGUUGAAAAAUUAUGCGAGUAUGUGACCGCUAAAGAGUCAGCCGACCGUUUCCAAUUUCAGUUCGAGAAAUUCGCGGUUGGCUUACACGCCAAGCACUUGAUUGCCGACCUGCCGAUAAACAAAUUCAAAAGUCGAUUUAGAAACCUAGUG
Molecule: long non-coding RNA, 349 nt
Organism: Liolophura sinensis
Lineage: Eukaryota; Metazoa; Mollusca; Polyplacophora; Chitonida; Chitonidae
Exons: 3
Source: RefSeq, a predicted model, not a curated record